UUUCUAAUUUUUAUUUUAAUUUCUUUAUUUUCAUUAAUUCAUAUUAAUUUUAAUAUUGAUCCAAAAGAUAUGGGAAUUUCAGCAAAAUAAUUCAAAUAUUUUUCUUUCAUUUUUUGAAUUAAAAUUAUUUUUUGGAUCAAUAUUAAUAUUUUUCAUGAUUUAAUUAUUUUUGUGCAUAUUUUUAAUUGUUUAAAAUUACUUUUGAC
RNAcentral lists this long non-coding RNA (206 nucleotides) under Lathyrus oleraceus (garden pea). RNAcentral describes it as "Pisum sativum (pea) long non-coding RNA (PSAT_LNC024536)". Lineage: Eukaryota; Viridiplantae; Streptophyta; Magnoliopsida; Fabales; Fabaceae. The record is from RNAcentral.